RNAcentral lists this ribosomal RNA (207 nucleotides) under uncultured bacterium. RNAcentral describes it as "partial 16S ribosomal RNA". It matches the Rfam family "Bacterial small subunit ribosomal RNA", at positions 568 to 774 of the family's 1533-position model. The record is from RNAcentral.
CUCGUAGGUGGCCAACUAAGUCAGACGUGAAAUCCCCAGGCUCAACUUGGGAACUGCGUCUGAUACUGGAUGGCUUGAAUUCGGGAGAGGGAUGCAGAAUUCCAGGUGUAGCGGUGAAAUGCGUAGAUAUCUGGAGGAAUACCGGUGGCGAAGGCGGCAUCCUGGACCGAUAUUGACACUGAGGAGCGAAAGCCAGGGGAGCAAACG